ACGGUGAAUACGUUCCCGGGCCUUGUACACACCGCCCGUCACACCAUGGGAGUGGGUUGCAAAAGAAGUAGGUAGCUUAACCUUCGGGAGGGCGCUUACCACUUUGUGAUUCAUGACUGGGGUGAAGAGGAUGGAUCUAUCGCUAACUCCGGU
RNAcentral lists this ribosomal RNA (153 nucleotides) under Salmonella enterica subsp. enterica serovar Anatum. RNAcentral describes it as "partial 16S ribosomal RNA". It matches the Rfam family "Bacterial small subunit ribosomal RNA", at positions 1359 to 1533 of the family's 1533-position model. Lineage: Bacteria; Pseudomonadati; Pseudomonadota; Gammaproteobacteria; Enterobacterales; Enterobacteriaceae. The record is from RNAcentral.